RNAcentral lists this non-coding RNA (181 nucleotides) under Eubacteriales bacterium. RNAcentral's name for it is "6S RNA". It matches the Rfam family "6S / SsrS RNA". From Rfam's summary of the family: E. coli 6S RNA was the first non coding RNA to be sequenced, but its function was unknown until recently. The record is from RNAcentral. Lineage: Bacteria; Bacillati; Bacillota; Clostridia; Eubacteriales.
ACAUUCCUGGGGUGUUCGAUGACCUGUUUAUAUUGAACCUACAUUUUUCUGAACGGGAUUCCUAAAUUGACGUGUAGAUGUCAGGCCUCCAUAGCGCAGAGGAAGGCAGAAGCGGCGUCUGCGGUUACCCACCUAGCACCUGCUAGGACUCAACUGGCAGGAACGACAUCCUGGGUAAAGA